GUGCCUCCGAUCGGAACCGUCCUUUUACUUCAAAAGGGUUGUUUUUAAACAUUACUUAAAGUCUUCGUACAAACGCCCUGUACUGUGCACAAUUGUAAAUGGCACAAGAAAAAUAGAACAGUGAAAAAAGACGGGACAAUAUAUGCUGCUGUGCUGUACAAGACACAGCGUAUCUUGAGCCGUCUUGUUCCACAGCGCACCAACCACACAUGUUCCUGUCACCGUCACCUCUUCACAAUCUCCCCGCUACUCACGUCUCCCGCGGAUGGGGAGGAGAUCUGAAACAAACACGAAUAAAAGAUAAACAAGACACAAAGAAGGGCAACACCCAUGCUCUUGCAUAUAUCUCAUUCGCGUCUAGUUCGAGUCCCUGAAACAUUUCAUGAUUUCUGAAGUACUAUUAUGUGGUACUAUUUCAGUGAUUUCUCGACACAACAGGUUGGCAACGUUGCCAGAAAUUCCGAAACUACGGCGUCUGCUACAUUAGCGUGGACGACUGACUGAAGUGCUUUCGAUUUUUGUUGGUAGUUCUUUAUUCUAUGGUGCCGCGGCAAAAACAAGUCGCGAAAGCAGCGUUGCGUUCUCCGUAAUACACCACCCAACAAAUUAGUGUGCCGCGAGGUGCCAUUCUAUCAUGUUCCGAACGCCAGCGAGCCGAAGAGCAGGCAGCCUUGCUGCCUUGGGUGCGGAAACUGCAAGUGUGAAUGUGCCCACGGAUGACUGCCCCAGCUAUUUCGUGGUCGCAAAACUUUCGUCGACACAACUUCGUCUUGCCAGGAAAUAUUGUCCCCUGGAAAACUGAUGUGGUACCAAAAUCAGAAGGCGACGGGGGCUUCAUUGUGGUCAGCGUCCACCAUCCGCUCUCUCCGAGUUCGGCCGAUCCGGAACGAAACAGGAGUGGACAACCAGAUGACAGCACUCCGGCGACGGUGCCACGAAACGUUGCUGUCUGCUUCCUGUGGGGUCAUUUAUAUAACCCAAGAGUUAGAGUGAACUUUGUAAAUUUUUAAUAAACGAAAAUCUACCCGAGUGUGCUAGAGAGGAAAUAACA
This is a long non-coding RNA of Dermacentor silvarum, 1051 nucleotides long. RefSeq lists it as uncharacterized. The transcript has 2 exons. NCBI's taxonomy places the organism in Eukaryota, Metazoa, Arthropoda, Arachnida, Ixodida, Ixodidae. The record is from RefSeq and is a predicted model, not a curated record.